This 372-nucleotide ribosomal RNA is filed under the name uncultured organism. RNAcentral's name for it is "partial 16S ribosomal RNA". It matches the Rfam family "Bacterial small subunit ribosomal RNA", at positions 527 to 896 of the family's 1533-position model. The record is from RNAcentral.
GGAGGGUGCAAGCGUUGUUCGGAAUUACUGGGCGUAAAGAGCGUGUAGGCGGUUUGGCAAGUCAGAUGUGAAAGCCCUGGGGCUCAACCCAGGAAGUGCAUUUGAAACUGCCAUUCUAGAGUAUGGGAGAGGAGAGUGGAAUUCCCGGUGUAGAGGUGAAAUUCGUAGAUAUUGGGAGGAACACCCGUGGCGAAGGCGACUCUCUGGACCAAUACUGACGCUGAGACGCGAAAGCGUGGGGAGCAAACAGGAUUAGAUACCCUGGUAGUCCACGCCGUAAACGAUGAGAACUAGGUGUAGCGGGUAUUGACCCCUGCUGUGCCGUAGCUAACGCAUUAAGUUCUCCGCCUGGGGAGUACGGUCGCAAGGCUA